Molecule: ribosomal RNA, 988 nt
Filed under: metagenome
Description: bacterial LSU rRNA
Rfam family: Bacterial large subunit ribosomal RNA
Source: RNAcentral
AACUAUAACGGUCCUAAGGUAGCGAAAUUCCUUGUCAGGUAAGUUCUGACCCGCACGAAUGGCGUAACGAUUUGGGCGCUGUCUCAACAGCCCACCCGGCGAAAUUGUAGUACUGGUGAAGAUGCCAGUUACCCGCAACUAGACGGAAAGACCCCAUGGAGCUUUACUGUAGCUUAAUACUGAGGAUUGGUAAAUGAUGUACAGGAUAGGUGGGAGACUUGGAAGUCAGGGCGUCAGCUUUGAUGGAGUCAACCUUGGGAUACCACCCUUCAUUUGCUGGUUUUCUAACCUGCGGCCGUGAAUCCGGUCGGGGGACACUGUUAGGUGGGCAGUUUGACUGGGGCGGUCGCCUCCAAAAAGGUAACGGAGGCGCUCAAAGGUUCGUUCAGCACGGACGGAAACCGUGCAGUGAGUGUAAACGCAUAAACGAGCCUAACUGCGAGACCGACGGGUCGAGCAGUAACGAAAGUUGGAGUUAGUGAUCCGGCGGUAUGUGAGUGGAAAUGCCGUCGCUCAACGGAUAAAAGCUACCCUGGGGAUAACAGGCUGAUCUCCCCCAAGAGUCCACAUCGACGGGGAGGUUUGGCACCUCGAUGUCGGCUCAUCGCAUCCUGGGGCUGAAUUCGGUCCCAAGGGUUUGGCUGUUCGCCAAUUAAAGCGGCACGCGAGCUGGGUUCAGAACGUCGUGAGACAGUUCGGUCCCUAUCUGUUGCGGGCGUAGGAAUAUUGAGAGGAGCUGCCCUUAGUACGAGAGGACCGGGGUGGACGUACCGCUGGUGCACCAGUUGUUCCGCCAGGAGCAUAGCUGGGUAGCUAAGUACGGACGAGAUAAACGCUGAAGGCAUCUAAGCGUGAAACUUCCCUCGAGAUAAGUAUUCCCACUCUUCGGAGGUAAGGCCCCACGUAGACUAUGUGGUUGAUAGGUCAGGAGUGGAAGCGCAGCAAUGCGUGCAGCGGACUGAUACUAAUAGGCCGAGGGCUUGACCUA